RNAcentral lists this small RNA (29 nucleotides) under Bombyx mori (domestic silkworm). RNAcentral's name for it is "ovarian small RNA-38443". The record is from RNAcentral. Lineage: Eukaryota; Metazoa; Arthropoda; Insecta; Lepidoptera; Bombycidae.
UUUGUUUCGAAAGCCCAAACAUGAGCAUC